UUCUGCCACCGAAUACAUUAGCAUGGGAUAAUGGAAUAGGACCCUGUCCUCCUAUUUUCAGUUGGUUUUGGCAGCGCGAGGACUAGGGUAAUGAUUAAUAGGGAUAGUUGGGGGCAUUAAUAUUUAAUUGUCAGAGGUGAAAUUCUUGGAUUUAUGAAAGAUUAACUUCUGCGAAAGCAUCUGCCAAGGAUGUUUUCAUUAAUCAAGAACGAAAGUUAGGGGAUCGAAGACGAUCAGAUACCGUCGUAGUCUUAACCAUAAACGAUGCCGACCAGCGAUUAGGAGACGUUGAAUACAAAACACCACCAUCGGCGCGGUCGUCCUUGGCGUUCGUGUUCACGCACGAGCGCGAGGGCGGCUUAGCCCGAUGGCACCGGUGAAUGACUCCCCUAGCAGCUUGUGAGA
RNAcentral lists this ribosomal RNA (405 nucleotides) under Acanthamoeba sp. RNAcentral describes it as "SSU rRNA". It matches the Rfam family "Eukaryotic small subunit ribosomal RNA", at positions 787 to 1095 of the family's 1831-position model. Lineage: Eukaryota; Discosea; Longamoebia; Acanthamoebidae. RNAcentral also lists the same sequence under 1 other name. The record is from RNAcentral.